This 253-nucleotide ribosomal RNA is filed under the name uncultured bacterium. RNAcentral's name for it is "partial 16S ribosomal RNA". It matches the Rfam family "Bacterial small subunit ribosomal RNA", at positions 524 to 776 of the family's 1533-position model. The record is from RNAcentral.
UACAGAGGGUGCAAGCGUUAAUCGGAAUUACUGGGCGUAAAGCGUGCGUAGGCGGUUAUUUAAGUCGGGUGUGAAAGCCCCGGGCUCAACCUGGGAAUUGCAUUCGAGACUGAAUAGCUAGGGUGCGGAAGAGGGAAGCGGAAUUUCCGGUGUAGCGGUGAAAUGCGUAGAUAUCGGAAGGAACACCGGUGGCGAAAGCGGCUUCCUGGUCCAGCACCGACGUUCAGGCACGAAAGCGUGGGGAGCAAACAGG